GGAAAUAUAGUUUUAAUUAGGAUAAAAUAACACCCUGUCGCGGUGAUGAUGCGAGUUCAAGUCUCGUUAUUUCCG
This 75-nucleotide transfer RNA is filed under the name Cyclospora cayetanensis. It matches the Rfam family "tRNA". Rfam says of the family: Transfer RNA (tRNA) molecules are approximately 80 nucleotides in length. The record is from Rfam by way of RNAcentral. Lineage: Eukaryota; Apicomplexa; Conoidasida; Eucoccidiorida; Eimeriidae.